RNAcentral lists this ribosomal RNA (385 nucleotides) under Aeromonas veronii. RNAcentral's name for it is "bacterial LSU rRNA". It matches the Rfam family "Bacterial large subunit ribosomal RNA", at positions 2567 to 2925 of the family's 2925-position model. The record is from RNAcentral. Lineage: Bacteria; Pseudomonadati; Pseudomonadota; Gammaproteobacteria; Aeromonadales; Aeromonadaceae.
AAGGGUAUGGCUGUUCGCCAUUUAAAGUGGUACGCGAGCUGGGUUCAGAACGUCGUGAGACAGUUCGGUCCCUAUCUGCCGUGGGCGUUGGAUGAUUGAAGGGAGUUGCUCCUAGUACGAGAGGACCGGAGUGAACGAACCUCUGGUGUUCGGGUUGUCACGCCAGUGGCACUGCCCGGUAGCUAAGUUCGGAAUCGAUAACCGCUGAAAGCAUCUAAGCGGGAAGCGAGCCCUGAGAUGAGUCAUCCCUGACCCCUUGAGGGUCCUAAAGGGCCGUUGGAGACCACAACGUUGAUAGGUGGGGUGUGUAAGCGCGGUGACGUGUUGAGCUAACCCAUACUAAUUACCCGUGAGGCUUAACCAUACAACACCCAAGAAGUGUUCU